Long non-coding RNA from Gasterosteus aculeatus (three-spined stickleback), 471 nucleotides. NCBI's taxonomy places the organism in Eukaryota, Metazoa, Chordata, Actinopteri, Perciformes, Gasterosteidae. The record is from Ensembl.
AGGAGGAUGGAGGGAGAGAAAGAGACGGCUGAGGAGAAGGAGGAAGAGGAGGAGCUUCGCCAUCACAUCACAGCGGCGUCCUCGGUGGACGACCUGGCUCUUCCCAUCAUGCAAUGGGAGGAUCUGAGCCAGCGGAUAGCCCAGUUGGAAAGACAGGAGCAAGAGCGGAGGGAGAGGUCAAAGGUCAGCCGUGAAGAAGCGUGUGGAAAGGGUUCUCUGAAGACUGCAUUUCCUGUGGCGCGGGAGGGGGGUCGGGGGGGGGGCGUGGGGCGACGUCUGGGAGGAAGACGACACGUCGAGUAGGAGGCGUCGAGUCGCCGUCGACAAUUCGCAGUUUCAUAACCACAGAAGGCUUCAGCUGUGCUUCAUCAACAGCAGCGACAGUGAGGACGAGGAGGGAGACGCCACAGAGAAGGUCUCUGCAUGUUCAUUGGCCGGAGGUGUCGUACUUUAUUUUUCUCUGUUCGCCGC